Puntigrus tetrazona (Sumatra barb) is the source of this 469-nucleotide non-coding RNA. Lineage: Eukaryota; Metazoa; Chordata; Actinopteri; Cypriniformes; Cyprinidae. The record is from the annotation of a RefSeq genome assembly.
UUAACCAGUGGGAAUAACCAUUUUAAAAGAUCACUAGAGGGAGGCUUGAACUGCUCCGUCAUUCUGUCCUGAAAACUACAUCAUGUUCUCUGCAGUUUUGGUUUUGCUCCUGGCAAGUGUAAACUGUAUUGAUUCAGAAGAACUCACUCAACCUGAGUCUCUGACUGUUCGUCCUGAUGCCACUCUCACUAUCAACUGUAAAGUCUCCUAUUCAGUUACAAGCUAUUAUACAGCCUGGAUUCGUCAACCUGCAGGAAAAGCUCUGGAGUGGAUUGGAUGGAUCUGGAGUGAUGGAAGCACAGCCUACAAGGAUUCCCUGAAAAGCAAGUUCAGUAUCAGCAGAGACACUUCCAGUGACACAAUAACACUGAAAGGACAGAAUAUGAGAGCUGAAGACACAGCUGUGUAUUAUUGUGCCAGACACACAGUGACAGACGCUAAUAAGAAUCCUUGGCAUGACACAUAUUGA